This 253-nucleotide ribosomal RNA is filed under the name uncultured bacterium. Its description in RNAcentral is "partial 16S ribosomal RNA". It matches the Rfam family "Bacterial small subunit ribosomal RNA", at positions 524 to 776 of the family's 1533-position model. The record is from RNAcentral.
UACGUAGGGUGCGAGCGUUAAUCGGAAUUACUGGGCGUAAAGCGUGCGCAGGCGGUUUUGUAAGCCAGAUGUGAAAUCCCCGGGCUUAACCUGGGAAUGGCAUUCGGGACUGCAAGGCUGGAGUGCGGCAGAGGAGACUGGAAUUCCUGGCGUAGCAGUGAAAUGCGUAGAUAUCAGGAGGAACACCGAUGGCGAAGGCAGGUCUCUGGGCUGACACUGACGCUCAUGCACGAAAGCGUGGGGAGCAAACAGG